RNAcentral lists this ribosomal RNA (179 nucleotides) under uncultured Streptococcus sp. RNAcentral's name for it is "partial 16S ribosomal RNA". It matches the Rfam family "Bacterial small subunit ribosomal RNA", at positions 352 to 522 of the family's 1533-position model. The record is from RNAcentral. Lineage: Bacteria; Bacillati; Bacillota; Bacilli; Lactobacillales; Streptococcaceae.
CAGUAGGGAAUCUUCGGCAAUGGGGGCAACCCUGACCGAGCAACGCCGCGUGAGUGAAGAAGGUUUUCGGAUCGUAAAGCUCUGUUGUCAGAGAAGAACGUGUGUGAGAGUGGAAAGUUCACACAGUGACGGUAACUUACCAGAAAGGGACGGCUAACUUCGUGCCAGCAGCCGCGGUA